This 305-nucleotide ribosomal RNA is filed under the name uncultured bacterium. Its description in RNAcentral is "bacterial SSU rRNA". It matches the Rfam family "Bacterial small subunit ribosomal RNA", at positions 333 to 633 of the family's 1533-position model. The record is from RNAcentral.
GUACCUACGGGACGCAGCAGUAGGGAAUUUUCGUCAAUGGGCGCAAGCCUGAACGAGCAAUGCCGCGUGAACGAGGAAGGUCUUCGGAUCGUAAAGUUCUGUUGAAGGGGAAAAAGAGCGGAGAGAGGAAAUGCUUUCUGAUUGAUAUUACCCUUCGAGGAAGUCACGGCUAACUACGUGCCAGCAGCCACGGCAAUACGUAGGUGGCGAGCGUUAUCCGGAAUGAUUGGGCGUAAAGGGUGCGUAGGCGGCCUGCUAAGUCUGGAGUGAAAGGUACCGGCUCAACCGGUACAGGCUCUGGAAAC